This 326-nucleotide ribosomal RNA is filed under the name uncultured eukaryote. RNAcentral's name for it is "partial 18S ribosomal RNA". It matches the Rfam family "Eukaryotic small subunit ribosomal RNA", at positions 1470 to 1796 of the family's 1831-position model. The record is from RNAcentral.
CCCUUAGAUGUUCUGGGCUGCACGCGCGCUACACUGAUGCACUCAACGAGUUUACGACCUUGCCCGAUAGGGUUGGGUAAUCUUUUUAAAAUGCAUCGUGAUGGGGAUAGAUUAUUGCAAUUAUUAAUCUUCAACGAGGAAUUCCUAGUAAGCGCAAGUCAUCAGCUCGUGCUGAUUACGUCCCUGCCCUUUGUACACACCGCCCGUCGCUCCUACCGAUUGAGUGCUCAGGUGAAUAAUUCGGACUGCAGCAAUGUUUGGAUCCCGAACGUUGCAGCGGAAAGUUUAGUGAACCUUAUCACUUAGAGGAAGGAGAAGUCGUAACA